CCGUGAGCUAACACUUGCUGGAUGAUCUGAGCUAGAGCACUGAUUUAAUUCACAUUAUCAUACUAGCUAGUUGCGAGAACCCCUUAAUGGCUUCUAAUGACACCAGCGACAUGUGUCACACGUGAGCAAAAAGUGGGGAAUCGAAGCAGGUCGUUAUUGGAAUGUGAAUUCGAACCUCUCUGUCUGAUGGGUUGAGUAACAGGCCUCCUGAGCUCCGGGGAGCUGGACGAAACUCGUAAGUUUCUCGUUUCCUCUCCGAAAAAUACAAGCUGCAGCUUUAAUUUAGAUAAGUGUCUAACAUUUCCACCGUAAUCAACUACUUUUCCCAGCCUCUGCCUUUAACACAGUUUGUUUUAAUUUACUUGAUUAAGCACUUCAUUAAGGCGCCCCUGUGGAGUAGGUGGAGGGAUGGCUUUAUCGCUACCGUGAUUUACCUCUGUCUGAGCGGUACGGAGAGCGCGCGUGUGCUAAACGAGGUGUGAAGAACGCCAGCGUGAAUGAGGAAUGACACCGAGCAGCACACGCGAAGGGGAGAUGGCAGAUGACAUCGGCGCCGACGCCGCACGGCUCAGUGUAAUACUAAAAGGAGAGUAAAAUGGAUCCCGUGAUAAUGUUCGCCCAAGAAGGAGAGUGUGAUCUGCCAUAGUUCUCACUGCAAGGCUGCUGUCAUGGCUGUGCUUCAUCCUGAACCAGGUGCUGAAAGACAGAAGGCUGUGGGCGUUAUGAGAAAAGAACAAGAGCAAAAAGGCAGAAGAAAAGCUUUGUAUAUGACGUGACACGAUAUGUAACACGAGUCGGAAAUGAAGACAAAGUCUGUCACUAUUACUACACUGCCCUGCAGAUAAAAUACAAUGCGGCAGCAAUAUCUCUGUAAUAUGUGCACGAAACAAAGCAAUAAAAAUACAUAUUUCAUUAAAAUAAAUU
This 924-nucleotide long non-coding RNA is filed under the name Scleropages formosus (Asian bonytongue). Its description in RNAcentral is "lncRNA (ENSSFOG00015030092.1)". The record is from RNAcentral. Lineage: Eukaryota; Metazoa; Chordata; Actinopteri; Osteoglossiformes; Osteoglossidae.